This 771-nucleotide long non-coding RNA is filed under the name Nicotiana tabacum (common tobacco). RNAcentral describes it as "long non-coding RNA (NTAB_LNC015307)". Lineage: Eukaryota; Viridiplantae; Streptophyta; Magnoliopsida; Solanales; Solanaceae. The record is from RNAcentral.
CUGAACAUAAUCUUUCUUGGCAGGAGACAGUUAAAUAACAAAGAUUCGAGAAAUUCAGUGCUUCUAUCACUAUUAGCAGAUACCACGAAGAAAACAAAAUCUAGGUGCUCAAAUAAAGAGAGGAUUAUACCAGACCACGAACGAACAAUUAAAUGACCUUCACAAACUUAUCCUGAACUGAAAUGCCCAGAACCUGCAGAAAAACAAAAAAUGUACCUUGAGACUGAUUCAAACACAAAGUAGAGCAGAAAGAGGGAAAGCAGCUGGCGACAAUUGUCUUCUCUGAAGGUCCCCAGGAGUUCUAAAAUACACAAGCAAAAGGAAAUAUUUCAAUUAAGACAUCAAUCACAGAAAUUAACCUACAAAAUACACAAAAAACCUAAAUUUUAGAACCUAAUGUGAAAGGAGAAAGAGGACUUGCAUCUCGAUUUCAGCAAAGAGUGUUAUGUCCUUCUUCAAAAUACACCGAUUCUACCAAAUUUCUGCGGAUUCUACCAAAUUUUUGCCGAUUCAAAAUACACCGAUUCUACCAAAUUUCUUCAAAAUACACUGAUUCUACCAAAUUAACAGAGAAAAUAAACUUAAAACCCACAUGCAUGAAGAAAGAAAGACAAAAAAGCAAAUUCAAAGACUGAAAGAGCAAAAUCAAAGCAAAAUCGAAGAGGAAUUUGUAUGAAAGAGCAAAAUCAAAUAAACUUACAUCCAAUUGAUUGAUAGAUCUGAAGUUUUCUUUCAUAUCUCUUUUAUUUUGCAACAGAGGAGGCGCUGAAG